This 1199-nucleotide long non-coding RNA is filed under the name Callithrix jacchus (white-tufted-ear marmoset). RNAcentral describes it as "lncRNA (ENSCJAG00000078464.1)". The record is from RNAcentral. Lineage: Eukaryota; Metazoa; Chordata; Mammalia; Primates; Cebidae.
UGAACCUUGUGUAAAACUCUGAAUGGCAAAGGUAUUUCUUUUUAAUUAAGAAGGCUUCUUGAAGAUUCAAGUUGUGUUUUUUGCAGCAGCUGUGAAGGAUGGUGUGCAUGUCAACUUGAUCAGAUUGAACCACGCAAAAUAUCGAUGCUGGCUGUGUCUGUGAGGGGGUUGCCACAGGAGAUGAACAUUUGAGUCAGGGAGUUGGGAAAGCCAGAACCACCAUCAGUCUGGGUGGGCACCAUCUCAUUAGCGGCCAGCUCAGCUAGAAUAUAAGCAGGUAGAAAAUGUGCAGAGGGAGACUGGCCUCGCCUCUCAGCCUCCAUCUUCCUCCCACGCUGGAGGCUCCCUGCUCUCUGACAUCAGACUCCAGAUUCUUCGGUUUUGGGAUAUGGGCUUGCUGUCCUUGCUCCUCAGCCUGCAGAUGGACUAUUAUGGGACCUUGUGAUUGUAACCCUGACUGGUGCAGAUGGGAAGACAGAUGUAUCUGAGAUUGAUCUACAAAACUCUGAAUAUGAAUGGAAAACCUACGCAAAGUUGGGCAUGGCUUAUCUCUUCCGUGAGCAGCCCUGCUGAGACCCACUGGUUUUGGUGUCUCCAAUCAGUAUCCUUCCUGUAAUUUUAUGAUAUGACCACAGCAAAAAGAAACUGUGAAGGCAUUUAUUGUUCGCAGCUGUUUUAUGCCCUGUUGGGAGUUUGGAGAAAAAUGUUUACAAUCAAGUACUCUUGGAGAAUCCUUUAUUUGUUUGUUUGAGUCUUAUUGGGAGACAGGGUCUCACUCUGUCACGCAGCCUGAAUGACAUCAUGGUUCUCUUCAGUGUUGACCUCCUGGGCUCAAGCAAUCCUCCCACGUCGGCCUCCUCAGUAGCUGGGACUGCAGGCACACACCGCCAUGACUGGCUGAUUUUUUAAAAAAUGUUUUGAAAGAUGGGGUCUUGCUAUGCGACCCCAUCAGGCUGGUUUCAAACUUCUGGGCUCAAAUGAUCCUCCCACCUCAGCCUCCCAAAGUGCUGGGGUGGCAGGUGUGAGCCACUGCACCCCGUUGAGAAAACUUAGAGUGCUGUGAAAAAAAUAGAACAGAAACAUGCUAAUGUGCUCCCUGCUUACUCUGGACAUGAAGAAGUAGAGAGAUCCUAGCUUCAAUUCUAAGAGGGGAAAACAAGGCCUCAAUUUGGAAUAAGCACUUUCAUGGAGCAUGUCUG